GGCCUUGUAUUCAUUUUGUGAUUGUAGAAUGCAAUUCUACAGGGGUGAGAUAUAGAGACUUACCAAGGCCU
Molecule: transfer RNA, 71 nt
Filed under: Cornitermes ovatus
Lineage: Eukaryota; Metazoa; Arthropoda; Insecta; Blattodea; Termitidae
Description: tRNA-Cys
Source: RNAcentral